CUCCACCUCCUCCUCCUCCUCCUCCACCU
This 29-nucleotide small RNA is filed under the name Arabidopsis thaliana (thale cress). RNAcentral's name for it is "ATSL136160". Lineage: Eukaryota; Viridiplantae; Streptophyta; Magnoliopsida; Brassicales; Brassicaceae. The record is from RNAcentral.